GAGCCAUCGAUGGGAGCUUGCUCCCUNAGAUUAGCGGCGGACGGGUGAGUACACGUGGGUAACCUGCCUGUAAGAUUGGGAUACUCCGGGAAACCGGAGCUAAUACCGGAUAACAUUUUGAACCACAUGGUUCAAAAUUGAAAGAUGGUCUCGGCUAUCACUUACAGAUGGACCCGCGGCGCAUUAGCUAGUUGGUGAGGUAACGGCUCACCAAGGCAACGAUGCGUAGCCGACCUGAGAGGGUGAUCGGCCACACUGGGACUGAGACACGGCCCAGACUCCUACGGGAGGCAGCAGUAGGGAAUCUUCCGCAAUGGACGAAAGUCUGACGGAGCAACGCCGCGUGAACGAUGAAGGCCUUCGGGUCGUAAAGUUCUGUUGUUAGGGAAGAACAAGUACCAGAGUAACUGCUGGUACCUUGACGGUACCUAACCAGAAAGCCACGGCUAACUACGUGCCAGCAGCCGCGGUAAU
Molecule: ribosomal RNA, 474 nt
Filed under: uncultured bacterium
Lineage: Bacteria
Description: bacterial SSU rRNA
Rfam family: Bacterial small subunit ribosomal RNA
Source: RNAcentral